This 72-nucleotide transfer RNA is filed under the name Caligus rogercresseyi. It matches the Rfam family "tRNA". Rfam says of the family: Transfer RNA (tRNA) molecules are approximately 80 nucleotides in length. The record is from Rfam by way of RNAcentral. Lineage: Eukaryota; Metazoa; Arthropoda; Copepoda; Siphonostomatoida; Caligidae.
GGGCUAGUGGUCUAGGGGUAUGAUUCCUGCUUUGGGUGCAGGAGGUCCCGGGUUCAAUCCCGGCUGAGCCCA